This 2899-nucleotide ribosomal RNA is filed under the name Triticum aestivum (bread wheat). RNAcentral's name for it is "partial small subunit ribosomal RNA". Lineage: Eukaryota; Viridiplantae; Streptophyta; Magnoliopsida; Poales; Poaceae. The record is from RNAcentral.
GAACCUCACGAGGAGAGAGAGUAGGGGUUUGUUGUCAACGUAGAACGUGUUGACAAAUAACUACCCAAAGAAGGAGACUAUGUAGUAAGGGAACCCACUAGAACCUUUCUUUCUUCGGGGAAAAAAAGUCCGAAAGGGAAAGGUCACACCACGCUUCGCGAAAGGCCGCAUAUCGAAUGGAAACGAACACACGACAAGGACUCACCUUAUUUCGGUCUCGCACGUAAGAACACCGAACCCUAUCCCAUCCUAAGAAGGAAGAAGGUGUCGGUACACGACCUACGUCGAAACUCGAAACCAUUAACGAAGAUCCGAGAUCGGUGGGGGUCAGGGUCGAAAUCGGUAGUUCUAGGUCGUGGUUUUUCGGAACUCGACGUAACAUCACUCCCCAACAGAACAGGGGAUCGAACCGAGCGAGAAAUAAGGAGUAUAAUAGACAGGAAUGAGACGGAGGUCUAGUUUCUAGUUCUUGUGUUGAGGGACAAAGGGCUCCUCUUUUCCUUAGUCCCUGUCCUCCGAGUUCGUCGUCGUCUGAGAGGAGUUCCAUGAUCACGAUUUAAUGCGACCUAACCACUAGAAAGAACACAAGAAAAACAAGACUUCUUCGAUAAACCCUCUUCGAGGAUAUAAUUAACCCAGGUUCUCCCCGAUGUCUACGUUGUUAGUAUUCAUACUUCGUCUACUUCGAAGAGACUCCUUCCUUCCUUCCUUCUUCUUCUUCGAGAACUAAAGAAACGUACCUCUUCCUCCGGUACCCCCCCGUACAUUUAUAUUACGACGGUGACCUCUUGGACUCGAGCCUAGAGGGGUUGCCACCUCAGCAUGAACCGGUACUGUUCCUUUAGAGUUGAGACGUACUUCUCUAAAGACGAGACUCUAGCUCCGUCUCCGUAGAGUUGGCCUCCUCUGCACUCCGCGACCUGUUCGAGUAUCUGGACUUUCCUUCGUAGUCCCACAAGACGGCUCAGGCCGGCAGCUAGAGUUGGUCGUUGUAGUUCUAGUUUAGUGGUCAAUGACAGCUUGUUCUCUUGUAGGAUCAAGCCCGUCACCCCUAGUUCUUUCUAAAGUCACAACUAGCCCACAAACUAGUCCUCAGUUGCGUUCUACUACACAAGGUACUGCACUUCGGUUAGGAGGCUAGACGUGAACUGCCCGUGUUGCAGACGUAGGAACGAAAGCCGGUUUGACCCUGGCCUUUCUGGAUAUGUUACCUUCCUUGAUCGCUAUUGGAGCCGCAGCACGGAGCUCGCUAAGUCCUCGACAAGAGAGUACGACGAGUUCUAUGAAGUAGGUGUAUAAGAAAGAGGUAUUCGUACGAACUCCACAUGUACCCUUCAGAGUCCCUGAACAACCGUGGUUCCGUCGUCGGAGAGAAGUCCAGGUGUCUUCCGUUAUGUUGAACAUUGGAGUCGUAAGAUCGUUGGUGUUCACCGAGGCACGUUCAGCUCCCCGAAUGGCUACAGCGUCAUGGCCUGGAGUUCUUCCGGUUGGUCACCAUGACGUCUCCCGCCGCUAGGGCCAGCUGUAGGACCUGUUUACAGUUGUUACAAAGCUCGGCUAGUGUGACAAACUGUUCUUAGUGGUAUUCCUCUACACCUCCACACUCACUCGUUCAGUCGUUCGACACCGAGCACCUAGAACCACCGUCGCUCGCCAACGAGUUCUGACCACGUAGACCCAACUGUUACCUACUCCCGUUCCGAUAUUUGGACAGAGACAGUCGAGAACCUCUACAGUAGCGACGUGAUUCCUCUUUCUCUUCGGUACAAGGUAUGUCUUUAUCGUUCGAAUGGGUCUAAGAGUCGCUAAGAGAGCCGCUACCGAGUUUUCAACACUACCACCACGUGUAGUCGGGAAGGUUCCUCCUGCACCCGCUCUGUUAAACAAGCGACCCGAAACGCUUUUCUCGGUACGACUAUCUUAGGUCGUCUCUCGAAAGUCUCCUGGACUUUUACAACUUCGCCUUCGCCGAGCGACUCGAGCUGUUCCUCUACGCGCUGCGGCUCGUCCUCGAGCCCCAAGACUUACUCGUUUAUUCCUCGCGGCUCUGCAGCCGCCGCCUCCUCUCCUUCUUCGAGAGAGGGAGGCAGCGGACAGUCCGAGAGUCGCUGCUCUUCCCCAGCGGGUCUUCGUAAGACCACAGUCCCGUACAACUACUACGGCGCCUAUCGGGAGUCCGUUGGGUCUCCCGGUUCUCGUCCUACUACCAGGUAGUACCCAGUCAGGGAGUGAAGUACAGGCGUUGCCACACGUCGGCAGUUUCCGUGCCGCGCCGUUGGGUAAGGCGGCCAUUUGGCUCCGACUGUUCUAGUCACUUGCGGAUGAGUAGAUUCGGGCCGCCCUCGGUCAGCAAGUCGGUGAGGCGUAGGUUCCGAUCCAGCAGCCACCGUAAGAGUAGGCCACUCGGAUCCGACUUUAUGAACAGACAGUUUAGGCUAGUCUAGUUGCAUUCGUCGUUGUCGUAGCUAAGCUGCCGCCGCAGCCGCGGAGCCGGAGCCGGUUCCCUCUCGAAACAAAGGUCCGGCCACGUCUCUCGAGGGGACGUAGUCGUGUCCUCUUCCUACAGUACGAAUUGGACUCGAGUGUCUUUAUGACGUAUGUCUAACGUAUGGUGACUAACACUGAACAACAAACCACCGGUUUACAAAACCUUUGAUGGUACAGAUGUCGACAAACUAUUCAUCAAACCAACACAAUUGAACACAUUGAUGACCUCCCGGGAAGGAAACGAGAAAAACCAAAGUUUGCCUUCCCGUGUUCCUACACUCGCACUCCCCAUACCAUUUACAACAUUGACAUUAACCUAAACCGAUUAAGAAAACUAACGAGACAACUUAACAUUAAACUUUUCCUUUUUGUUUACGUCAUGUAGUAGUGAAUUAUAUGACAAGACUAAUUC